RNAcentral lists this ribosomal RNA (485 nucleotides) under Otostigmus sp. A WS-2018. RNAcentral describes it as "partial 16S ribosomal RNA". It matches the Rfam family "Bacterial large subunit ribosomal RNA", at positions 1819 to 2606 of the family's 2925-position model. The record is from RNAcentral. Lineage: Eukaryota; Metazoa; Arthropoda; Chilopoda; Scolopendromorpha; Scolopendridae.
GUCUUUUUGGGUUUAAUAAAAAGUCUAGCCUGCCCAAUGUAUAUUAAUGGCCGCGGUAUUUUGACCGUGCGAAGGUAGCAUAAUCAAUAGUCUAUUUAAUGUAGUCUGGAAUGAAGGGUUUGACGGGGAGCAUCUUUCUUAGUUUUGAUUUUGAAUUUAAAUUGUUAGUAAAAAUGCUAAUAUAGUUUAGGGGGACGAGAAGACCCUAUAGAACUUUAUAUAAAUAUUGAUUUUUGUAGCUAUUAUCAAUUAUAUUUUGUUGGGGCGACAGUAAUUGUAAACAAUUAUUUUGAUGCUUAAAUUGAAGGGUGUUUGAUCCAUUAAUAGUGAUUUUAGAACAAGUUACCUUAGGGAUAACAGCGUAAUUAAAUUUUAGAGUUCUUAUCGAUAAUUUAGAUUGCGACCUCGAUGUUGGAUUACAAUUCCCUUUGGGCGUAGGUGUUUUUAGGGGUAGUCUGUUCGACUAUUAAAAUUGUACAUGAUCU